CUUGAGAGCGGCGGACGGGUGAGUAAUGCCUAGGAAUCUGCCUGGUAGUGGGGGAUAACGCUCGGAAACGGACGCUAAUACCGCAUACGUCCUACGGGAGAAAGCAGGGGACCUUCGGGCCUUGCGCUAUCAGAUGAGCCUAGGUCGGAUUAGCUAGUUGGUGAGGUAAUGGCUCACCAAGGCGACGAUCCGUAACUGGUCUGAGAGGAUGAUCAGUCACACUGGAACUGAGACACGGUCCAGACUCCUACGGGAGGCAGCAGUGGGGAAUAUUGGACAAUGGGCGAAAGCCUGAUCCAGCCAUGCCGCGUGUGUGAAGAAGGUCUUCGGAUUGUAAAGCACUUUAAGUUGGGAGGAAGGGUUGUAGAUUAAUACUCUGCAAUUUUGACGUUACCGACAGAAUAAGCACCGGCUAACUCUGUGCCAGCAGCCGCGGUAAUACAGAGGGUGCAAGCGUUAAUCGGAAUUACUGGGCGUAAAGCGCGCGUAGGUGGUUCGUUAAGUUGGAUGUGAAAGCCCCGGGCUCAACCUGGGAACUGCAUUCAAAACUGUCGAGCUA
Molecule: ribosomal RNA, 559 nt
Filed under: Pseudomonas sp. EECC-215
Lineage: Bacteria; Pseudomonadati; Pseudomonadota; Gammaproteobacteria; Pseudomonadales; Pseudomonadaceae
Description: bacterial SSU rRNA
Rfam family: Bacterial small subunit ribosomal RNA
Source: RNAcentral